UCCGAAUGCCUAAGGUUUCCUGAGGAAGGCUCGUCCGCUCAGGGUUAGUCGGGACCUAAGCCGAGGCCGAAAGGCGUAGGCGAUGGACAACAGGUUGAUAUUCCUGUACCACCUCCUCACCAUUUGAGCAAUGGGGGGACGCAGGAGGAUAGGGUAAGCGCGGUAUUGGAUAUCCGCGUCCAAGCAGUUAGGCUGGGAAAUAGGCAAAUCCGUUUCCCAUAAGGCUGAGCUGUGAUGGCGAGCGAAAUAUAGUAGCGAAGUUCCUGAUUCCACACUGCCAAGAAAAGCCUCUAGCGAAGUGAGAGGUGCCCGUACCGCAAACCGACACAGGUAGGCGAGGAGAGAAUCCUAAGGUGAUCGAGAGAACUCUCGUUAAGGAACUCGGCAAAAUGACCCCGUAACUUCGGGAGAAGGGGUGCUCUGUUAGGGUGCAAGCCCGAGAGAGCCGCAGUGAAUAGGCCCAGGCGACUGUUUAGCAAAAACACAGGUCUCUGCGAAGCCGUAAGGCGAAGUAUAGGGGCUGACGCCUGCCCGGUGCUGGAAGGUUAAGAGGAGCGCUUAGCGUAAGCGAAGGUGCGAAUUGAAGCCCCAGUAAACGGCGGCCGUAACGAUAACGGUCCUAAGGUAGCGAAAUUCCUUGUCGGGUAAGUUCCGACCCGCACGAAAGGCGCAACGAUCUGGGCACUGUCUCAACGAGAGACUCGGUGAAAUUAUAGUACCUGUGAAGAUGCAGGUUACCCGCGACAGGACGGAAAGACCCCGUGGAGCUUUACUGCAGCCUGAUAUUGAAUGUUGGUACAGCUUGUACAGGAUAGGUAGGAGCCUUGGAAACCGGAGCGCCAGCUUCGGUGGAGGCAUCGGUGGGAUACUACCCUGGCUGUAUUGACCUUCUAACCCGCCGCCCUUAUCGGGCGGGGAGACAGUGUCAGGUGGGCAGUUUGACUGGGGCGGUCGCCUCCUAAAAGGUAACGGAGGCGCCCAAAGGUUCCCUCAGAAUGGUUGGAAAUCAUUCGCAGAGUGUAAAGGCACGUGGGAGCUUGACUGCGAGACCUACAAGUCGAGCAGGGACGAAAGUCGGGCUUAGUGAUCCGGUGGUUCCGCAUGGAAGGGCCAUCGCUCAACGGAUAAAAGCUACCCCGGGGAUAACAGGCUUAUCUCCCCCAAGAGUCCACAUCGACGGGGAGGUUUGGUACCUCGAUGUCGGCUCAUCGCAUCCUGGGGCUGUAGUCGGUCCCAAGGGUUGGGCUGUUCGCCCAUUAAAGCGGUACGCGAGCUGGGUUCAGAACGUCGUGAGACAGUUCGGUCCCUAUCCGUCGCGGGCGCAGGAAAUUUGAGAGGAGCUGUCCUUAGUACGAGAGGACCGGGAUGGACGCACCGCUGGUGUACCAGUUGUUCUGCCAAGGGCAUCGCUGGGUAGCUAUGUGCGGACGGGAUAAGUGCUGAAAGCAUCUAAGCAUGAAGCCCCCCUCAAGAUGAGAUUUCCCAUUCCGCAAGGAAGUAAGAUCCCUGAAAGAUGAUCAGGUUGAUAGGUCUGAGGUGGAAGUGUGGCGACACAUGGAGCUGACAGAUACUAAUCGAUCGAGGACUUAACC
Molecule: ribosomal RNA, 1592 nt
Filed under: metagenome
Description: bacterial LSU rRNA
Rfam family: Bacterial large subunit ribosomal RNA
Source: RNAcentral